Molecule: long non-coding RNA, 708 nt
Filed under: Zonotrichia albicollis (white-throated sparrow)
Lineage: Eukaryota; Metazoa; Chordata; Aves; Passeriformes; Passerellidae
Description: lncRNA (ENSZALG00000007354.1)
Source: RNAcentral
GCCAAAGAUAAAAGGAUUCGAUACUUUGGAGGAACUUUGCUUCACGUGGUUGUAAAAUCAGCAGAGGUGCUGGAAACACCUCUCAUUUUGUGUGGAGAGGUUCAGUCCUAUACCUGAUGGGGAGGAGAAAGCAUUGACUAGACAUUUUUCCAGUCCUUGAAGCAGUUUUCUUUGAGAGAAUGACAUUUUUCAUGCCAGACAGUUGGCAUCAGCUGUCAAGUUGGGUGAACUGGACAAGACAGAGAUGGAGACAUGCAAUGCUAUAUGGUGUCAUCAGAACUAAAGAUUAUGAAAUUCUUCUGCACAGAUUUCACCCCUGAAGUGAACAGAACACACCAGGGAUUUCCCAUGGCGAUGAGAGUCCCUGUUCCAGUUCAACUGAUUCAACUGGCCAUGUUGCCUUUUAUCCAGGUUCCUGUUUUCAUCACAUGGCAGGAGAUGCAGAAAGCACUAGGAAAACUACACCGCCAGAGGGUUUGCCAUUAUGUGGAGGAGGCACAGUCCAUGUUCUGCAACUGCUGUGAGAGACCUUCUCCCAUGCUGGAAGCUCCCUCUCAGACACUUGUCCUGGUCCAGCCUGCUCCCAUCUCCAUGAGACUGUUCCUGCUCUUGCCUAGCCCCAGUCCUUGGUGGGGUCUGUCAGCCCUGCAUCUUUCACCCUUCCAGGCAGGUGGACAGGGCCCAGGGGAUGCAGCUGCAGGGCCAUGA